GCAAUUUUCACACUCGCAUUGACGUGGACCCACUUUUACUUUUACUUCCGAUCCAACGAGAUCAAUUAUUUCCAAUCAAUCUGGUCAACUUUGCCCAAAAAACUAUUAGUUUUCAUUAUUUUAUCAGUGUUCUUCUUUUCGUACUGAAUUUUAUGGUGCACUUACAGGUUUGUUGGUAAAGUAGGGCCUGCAUUAUGAAAGAUUCUCCGAAUAAGGAUGCACAUAGCCAGCUCUUAUUUCCAUUCUAGAAGAGUUGGACCCUUAUUACUCUGAAUAAACAAAAAAUUGAAAGAUUUAAUGAACCGACGUUAAACCAAAGUUAAAGGAAAUGGACAAAAAGAAUCUAUCUGCCGCAAGGAGAAAGUUGGAAGAAUACAAACUGCACAAGGCAAGCAGUGGUGUUCAGAAGACUGAUGCAAGUAGCAGUGGUCACCACUCGGUUGAAGGCGGCACUACUUUCACAGAAAUUAAUGAAACUUAUCCUCGUCCACCAGAGACUACUGAACAAGUUCCAGCACCCAUUCCAUACUUUCAUCCCCCUCCCACCGAAAAUAUCCCCACAUUUCUAAAUAAUCUUGGAACUGAAAUGCAGUCCAUUCACAUGGAAGGUGGACAAGAUUUAAAAGUUCUCAACAUGUCUACACCAAGCAGUGUUAAUUCCACAGAUUUUAAUAAUUCCACUUUCACUACAGUUGCUAGUCCUGCAUCGGCAAAUAAUAAUGGGACAAUAGUUUCUCCAUUCUCAGAAGUCAGUUCGCAGCAGAUGAAUGAUCACAUCUUUACUCCGCCCCUAUCAUCAACUAUGUUUGACCAAGAAAAUCCACAGCCAAUUUAUGACCAUAAGCAAGAACAGUUCACCGAUGCGGGACAAAAUUUUCCACCUAAUUUCUUUCAGUCCACUCCGAUUUCUCAUGAUCAUCACCAUCAUAGCAAGUCACCUUAUGAACCACAAGAUUUUUAUUAUAAUCUGCCCCAACCAUCAGCACCACUGUUUUUCAAUGUCAAUGGAGGUUUUAUAACUCCUCAACAUCAGGGAACUUCCCUCUCCAACAUUCAAGAUGAUCCUGAAAGCCAAAGUGUCUUACAAGAGAAAGCCUCUCCAAACUCUAUGGAGGAAACAAUGUCACGCCAAGUAGUUGACACACAUUCACUGCGGAAUGGGGAAAAUUGUGAUGAAAAUAAUGACAACAAUCGUAAUUCAUUAAGUACCGAAAAGCCAAAAAAUGUUCACUUUAAUAUUUCCCAACAUGAUUUACCCGACAAUAUUCCUCUAUCUAUGGAGGAACCCAGUUUAAAAGAAGUAACACUGCAAAGAAUGUCACCAUCAUCCAUGCAGAGUGCAGACAUAGACGUUCGUGAAAUUCAAGCAUUUCAAAGACUAAAAUCGGUACAGGACGCGUUGGAAAUGCAACUAGAAGAGUCAAGAAGAGAUAAUGAACGGCUGUUAAAUCGACAAGCUGAGCUGCUUUUGCAACUCGAGGAUAACGACAAAAAUGUCCAGGAACUUCGUCGAGAACGAGAUAGAAGUAAAGAAGAUGCCAAAAAAUUAAUGCAACCAUUGACUAUCAAAUUCAACAAUCUGUAUGAAGAGAACCAAAGAAGCUUGAAAAAUUCUAAUGACGUUGGAAUGGAGCUUAGAAGUAAAUUGCAGGAAAAGUCGAAACAGUACGAAGAUAUGGAACAAGCCUUCAUUAUUGUGUCGAAAUCUAAAAUGGACUUGGCUGCAGAGCUCGAUCAGGAAAAAGAAAAAUCAAAAGAACUGGAGACGCAACUAUUGACAAGAGAUGAAUGUAUUGUUGACUUGAGAAAUAACGUUGCAAAAUUGGAGGAAAAGAUAAAAGUUGAGCAGCAGAAGGAUGGCAUUAUUCACCAAUUAGAAGACCAGAUUCGCCAUUAUCAAGUUCAAUCUGAAACCCUUCAACGAGAAUUGAGGAGGUCCAACAACAAGAUCGAAAGGCUGUUGGUGACCAGUGUAGCAAAGUCUUCACAUAAUGAUGAAACACCACUAAUGACAGCAGAUCCAAAAUCCAGUAUCCAUAAUCACAGUGACCACCACAUUGCCGCACAGGAGCACGGGCACAGCCACGAUGACCACGAUCAUCAUCAUGACCACCAUGGUCACGAGCAUGAUCAUCAUCACGAUGACCACCAUGGCCACGAACAUGACCAUCAUCACGAUGACCACCAUGGCCACGAACAUGACCAUCAUCACGAUGACCACCAUGGCCACGAACAUGUCGAACACGGUGCAACUGGGAAAACCAGCCCUACUAACGAGGUCGUUGAAAUGAAGAGACGCCUUCACCAUUUGGAGUGGGAAAAUUCCACAUUUCGGAACGAUCUUGAUAAGUUGGCAAUUGAAGCGAAAGAGAGGCGCAACUUUGAAGAAAAUUUCAAUAAAAUGUCAGAGGAAUGUCGAAAACUGAAAACCAUUAAUAAUAACACUUCAUGACGUUGUCUAUACUUAAACGAUGAAAAUGGGACAUGACAUUUUGGACAUUCAAUUUGUAAUUCAUGCAAUUUUUCGUGUCUCAGUUUCGAUUCUACAGAGUUAGUAACUACAUGACAGAUUUUACAAGAAUUGUCACAGUCAGGAUGAGCAUAAGUUACAUGUCUCGCUAAAGUAUUGCUAUCGUAUUCAACCCCACAAAUGACACACUCAUGUUUAUUGACUUUUACGGUUGUAGAACGUCUUUGGGGAGUUAAAUUGAAAGCAUCAAAUGAGGUACAAAAUUCAGUUAUAGAUUGUCUAUUACAUUUUAUGUCAUGGUCUGGGUACAUUGGACUAAAAUGCACAUCAACUGUAUCGAAUAGACUAUGUAAAUUCCUAUCGAAAUUUAUGUGGAAACUGUCGCAGUUAACGUACCUUUCCAUGAGUAUUUCAAAAUCUAAAUGUUCCCAGUACCGUGCAUGAUAAUUGGUCGAAGAAUUAUUAGCUGCAUCAUACAGAGGAAGGUAUUUAGCAGGGUCGUGUAUAUUCUGGUAUUGCCAUAACUUUGAAACAAAAUGGGAUAAAGCUUCGACAGCAUGACAUGAACUGUUAAUUGGACUGUUUUGUCUUUCACGGAACGUGAUAUCGAACAAUAAUAUAAACUCUACUUGCGGAUGUGUCGCAUAUUUGUAGGUGUAGACACCAGGUGUACCAUCAACUGGAACGUAAGUUGGACACACUUUUUUACCCUCAUCUCUGACGGUUGAUACCCUUAAUGAUAAGAUGGGUUUUGUCACACACCAAAAUUGGCAUCUGUAUCCUCGUCGUACUUGACACAUAGCAUUAUGUUCGUUGAUAACGUCUUCUUUGGUUUUGGUUGGUAAAGUGUAGGGGAGUAUUUGUUCGGAAUGGGCCGAGUCGUCAUCAUCAUUCAUGUGAUCAGAGUGGGGGUGGGCUUGUCCGUGGUCAGAAUCCGAAUCGUCACCUUCAUUCGUUCGUUCCAUGGGAGAGUGGUCGGUAUCGGGGGCAGAUUCCGAGUCGUCAUCAUCAUUCAUGUGAUCAGAGUGGGGGUGGGCUUGUCCGUGGUCAGAAUCCGAUUCCGAGUCGUCAUCAUACGUGUAGGACACCUUCUUUCGCUUCCUCAAACUCCUACCACCUAAAAAAACAAUAAAGUCAAUGUUAUUAAUAAUAGUAAUAUUUAAUAUGCUGUGUCGUGGGGGUGGGUGAAAUAAGAGGGUAGAAAACUUACGCCCUUCCGUGUUUUGGUGGUCGGUGUCAGGGGAAGAAUCCGAGUCGUCAACAGCACUCGCGGGUUCCAUUUGGGGGUGGUCGGUGUCAGGGGGAUUCCGAGUUGUUUUCCGAGAAGGUCGUUUUUUGGGUGGGGCCAUCUUUGCGCCCUGAAAAGGACUUAAACAAAGAGGUAAACAGUGGUGGAAAGUGUGGAAGGUUUGAGAGGUGGAGGAGAGAGGAAGAAAAACACGUGAAACUCGCUGGCAGUGCAGACGAGUUGUGUGAGAACUUCUCCAUUUUUCUUCCUUGAUGGCAAAGGGAUGCCAAGCUUUCGUUAUCAGUUAAUACGAAAAUAGAGUGAGGAGGACGAAGGUAGCGUCGGUUUAUUUUUAAAAUUAAUAAAUUUGCUUGAUAAGUAAAAUAAAUAAAAUAAAUUUGCAUGAUAUUUCAACCUGUUUUUAAAAAUGUAAUAUUGGUUUAGGCUUCUCGAGUGCCAAGAGUUAGAAUCGCUUGUUAUUCAACUACAAGGCGAAAACGAUACAAUUGGGGAUUACAU
Molecule: RNA transcript, 4217 nt
Organism: Folsomia candida
Lineage: Eukaryota; Metazoa; Arthropoda; Collembola; Entomobryomorpha; Isotomidae
Gene name: golgin subfamily A member 2
Exons: 9
Source: RefSeq, a predicted model, not a curated record